AAUGAACGCUGGCGGCGCGCCUAAUACAUGCAAGUCGAGCGAGAAGACGUAGCAAUACGUUUGUAAAGCGGCGAACGGGUGAGGAAUACAUGGGUAACCUACCCUCGAGUGGGGAAUAACUAGCCGAAAGGUUAGCUAAUACCGCGUACGCUUCUUGGACUUCGGUUCAGGGAGGAAAGCGAUACCGUGGGUAUCGCGCUCUUGGAUGGGCUCAUGUCCUAUCAGCUUGUUGGUGAGGUAACGGCUCACCAAGGCUUCGACGGGUAGCUGGUCUGAGAGGACGAUCAGCCACACUGGCACUGCGACACGGGCCAGACUCCUACGGAGGCAGCAGUAAGGAAUAUUGCGCAAUGGGCGAAAGCCUGACGCAGCGACGCCGCGUGGGGGAGUGAAGGUCUUCGGA
RNAcentral lists this ribosomal RNA (403 nucleotides) under uncultured bacterium. RNAcentral's name for it is "bacterial SSU rRNA". It matches the Rfam family "Bacterial small subunit ribosomal RNA", at positions 29 to 422 of the family's 1533-position model. The record is from RNAcentral.